AGUAAUGUCUGGGAAACGGCCUGAUGGAGGGGGGUAACUACUGGAAACGGUAGCUAAUACCGCAUAACGUCGCAAGACCAAAGUGGGGGACCUUCGGGCCUCAUGCCAUCAGAUGUGCCCAGAUGGGAUUAGCUAGUAGGUGGGGUAACGGCUCACCUAGGCGACGAUCCCUAGCUGGUCUGAGAGGAUGACCAGCCACACUGGAACUGAGACACGGUCCAG
Molecule: ribosomal RNA, 222 nt
Filed under: uncultured bacterium
Lineage: Bacteria
Description: partial 16S ribosomal RNA
Rfam family: Bacterial small subunit ribosomal RNA
Source: RNAcentral